This 393-nucleotide ribosomal RNA is filed under the name uncultured bacterium. RNAcentral's name for it is "partial 16S ribosomal RNA". It matches the Rfam family "Bacterial small subunit ribosomal RNA", at positions 523 to 918 of the family's 1533-position model. The record is from RNAcentral.
AUACGGAGGAUCCGAGCGUUAUCCGGAUUUAUUGGGUUUAAAGGGAGCGUAGGUGGACAGUUAAGUCAGUUGUGAAAGUUUGCGGCUCAACCGUAAAAUUGCAGUUGAUACUGGCUGUCUUGAGUACGGUAGAGGUGGGCGGAAUUCGUGGUGUAGCGGUGAAAUGCUUAGAUAUCACGAAGAACUCCGAUUGCGAAGGCAGCUCACUGGACUGCAACUGACACUGAUGCUCGAAAGUGUGGGUAUCAAACAGGAUUAGAUACCCUGGUAGUCCACACAGUAAACGAUGAAUACUCGCUGUUUGCGAUAUACAGUAAGCGGCCAAGCGAAAGCAUUAAGUAUUCCACCUGGGGAGUCCGCCGGCAACGGUGAAACUCAAAUGAAUUGACGGGG